UGAGUAAAGCGGCGCACGGGUGAGUAACACGUAGGUAACCUGCCCCAUAGUCGGGAAUAACCCGGGGAAACUCGGGCUAAUGCCGGAUGAGACCACAGCCGUUUCGACGGCAGCGGCCAAAGGCGGCCUCUACAUGUAAGCUGUCGCUAUGGGAUGGGCCUGCGGCCCAUUAGCUUGUUGGUGAGGUAACGGCUCACCAAGGCUGUGAUGGGUAGCUGGUUUUAGAGGAUGAUCAGCAACACUGGGACUGAGACACGGCCCAGACUCCUACGGGAGGCAGCAGUGGGGAAUCUUGGACAAUGGGCGCAAGCCUGAUCCAGCCAUGCCGCGUGAGUGAUGAAGGCCUUAGGGUCGUAAAGCUCCUUCGCCAGAGAUGAUAAUGACAGUAUCUGGUAAAGAAACCCCGGCUAACUCCGUGCCAGCAGCCGCGGUAAUACGGAGGGGGUUAGCGUUGUUCGGAAUUACUGGGCGUAAAGCGUAC
RNAcentral lists this ribosomal RNA (481 nucleotides) under uncultured bacterium. RNAcentral's name for it is "bacterial SSU rRNA". It matches the Rfam family "Bacterial small subunit ribosomal RNA", at positions 87 to 570 of the family's 1533-position model. The record is from RNAcentral.